GAUGAAGAACGUAGCGAAAUGCGAUAAGUAAUGCGAAUUGCAGAAUUCAGUGAGUCAUCGAAUCUUUGAACGCACAUUGCGCCCUGUGGUAUUCCGCAGGGCAUGCCUGUUCGAGCGUCAUUUCAACCCUCAAGCUCUGCUUGGUGUCGGGCCCUGCCCGCUGCGGCCGGCCCUAAAGACAGUGGCGGUGCCGCCUGGCCCUGAGCGUAGUACAUCUCUCGCUCCAGUGCCCGGUGGUAGCCUGCCAGAACCCCAACUCUCGUGGUUGACCUCGGAUCAGGUAGGGAUACCCGCUGAACUUAAGCAUAUCAAUAAGCGGAGGA
This 323-nucleotide unclassified non-coding RNA is filed under the name soil metagenome. RNAcentral's name for it is "partial contains 5.8S ribosomal RNA, internal transcribed spacer 2, and large subunit ribosomal RNA". The stretch from base 1 to 120 matches the Rfam family "5.8S ribosomal RNA", at positions 35 to 154 of the family's 154-position model. The record is from RNAcentral.